CGUACACUCCUGCGGGAGGCAGCAGUGGGGAAUAUUGCACAAUGGGCGCAAGCCUGAUGCAGCCAUGCCGCGUGUAUGAAGAAGGCCUUCGGGUUGUAAAGUACUUUCAGCGGGGAGGAAGGCGAUAAGGUUAAUAACCUUGUCGAUUGACGUUACCCGCAGAAGAAGCACCGGCUAACUCCGUGCCAGCAGCCGCGGUAAUACGGAGGGUGCAAGCGUUAAUCGGAAUUACUGGGCGUAAAGCGCACGCAGGCGGUCUGUCAAGUCGGAUGUGAAAUCCCCAGGCUCAACCUGGGAACUGCAUUCGAAACUGGCAGGCUAGAGUCUUGUAGAGGGGGGUAGAAUUCCAGGUGUAGCGGUGAAAUGCGUAGAGAUCUGGAGGAAUACCGGUGGCGAAGGCGGCCCCCUGGACAAAGACUGACGCUCAGGUGCGAAAGCGUGGGGAGCAAACAGGAUUAGAAACCCCAGUAGUCCC
Molecule: ribosomal RNA, 475 nt
Filed under: uncultured organism
Description: partial 16S ribosomal RNA
Rfam family: Bacterial small subunit ribosomal RNA
Source: RNAcentral